UAUGACGUUCGCAGCUAAACCACUUUUAGGUCUUCUGCGGCACACUUCUGUUACCUGAUCUUCAUCUGAGAAAUAUCACCAACUACUUUUCAUCACGGAAAAAUGGCUUUCAAAAGUCCAACAAAAAGCCCCCAUGCAGAAGGAGAACAGUUUACAGUAAUGAGAAACCAGUUGUUUGUUAGCAUAUUCUGUGUUGGAUGAGGUGGUGUGCAGAAUGGUACUGCAACAGGAGCUGACGGAGCUGGGGGUCACAGUGAUGAGAAAAGUCGCUGCACUCGAUGCAGAAAAAAAGUUUUAUGUUGAGCAAUAUGUUGAGUCCAUUUCAGGUUAAUCUCUGUAAAUAUAUGGCUUUUUUUAGUUACUUUACUGAAGUUACUCUGUCUUUAUACAGUAAUUUACUUUUAAAAUACAGUUUAUCUUUGUAAAAUAACUAAGAAAUAAUGUAUAAAAACGUUAUAAGUAUGUGAAAAUACAUUAAA
Molecule: long non-coding RNA, 479 nt
Organism: Xyrauchen texanus (razorback sucker)
Lineage: Eukaryota; Metazoa; Chordata; Actinopteri; Cypriniformes; Catostomidae
Exons: 3
Source: RefSeq, a predicted model, not a curated record